RNAcentral lists this unclassified non-coding RNA (208 nucleotides) under uncultured Erythrobasidium. RNAcentral's name for it is "sequence contains ITS2". Lineage: Eukaryota; Fungi; Basidiomycota; Cystobasidiomycetes; Erythrobasidiales; Erythrobasidiaceae. The record is from RNAcentral.
AACUCUCAACCCCCUUGUUUUGUAAUGAAGCAGGCGUGGGCUUGGAUUAUGGCUGUCUGCUGGACUCUUUAAGUAGAGAUCGGCUCGGCUGAAAUACACGAGUAACCCAGUUUGAAUAUUAACGGCUUGACUCGGCGUAAUAGCUUUAUUUCGCUGAGGACGUUUCAUAUCAAGAUAGUGGUGCUUCUAAUGCAUUAUUCAUUUAAGC